RNAcentral lists this ribosomal RNA (450 nucleotides) under uncultured bacterium. Its description in RNAcentral is "partial 16S ribosomal RNA". It matches the Rfam family "Bacterial small subunit ribosomal RNA", at positions 338 to 795 of the family's 1533-position model. The record is from RNAcentral.
CCUACGGGUGGCUGCAGUGGGGAAUUUUCCACAAUGGGCGAAAGCCUGAUGGAGCAACGCCGCGUGUGUGAUGAAGGUCUUCGGAUCGUAAAGCACUUUCGACCGGGACGAAAAACCUCUGGCUAACAUCCAGGGGCCUGACGGUACCGGGAGAAGAAGCACCGGCUAACUCUGUGCCAGCAGCCGCGGUACUACAGAGGGUGCAAGCGUUGUUCGGAAUUAUUGGUCGUAAAUCGCGUGUGGGCGGCUUGAAAGCCCAUGGCUUAACCAUGGAAGUGCGUCUGAAACUGCCGAGCUUGAGUGCCGGAGAGGAUGGCGGAAUGCCGCAAGUAGAGGUGAAAUUCGUAGAUAUGCGGAGGAACACCGGUGGCGAAGGCGGCCAUCUGGACGGUAACUGACGCUGAGACGCGAAAGCGUGGGGAGCAAACAGGAUUAGAUACCCCGGUAGUC